CCAUCAGGUAAAAACCCUAAUUCAUAGAAACGGCUACAAACCCUAACCCCAGUCCUCUUUAUAAACCCUUCUACUCAUACUCUUCUCGCAUCAGCCCCAAAACUAUCGACCUUUCAGUAUAGGUUUAUUCCUUUUUAAUUUUUUUUUAUUUGGAAAUGGUUUUAGCUUAGUUUGUUUGGAAUGAAUUGUGUCGAUGAUGAUAAAUCAAAGGCUUGUUUCUCAGAAACAUUCGCAGUGGCCGCCUGAGAGCUUUCGCCUUUCGCCGGGCUUGAGAGCUUCUGCUGUUUUGCUCCUUCCUUGGAUGUCUGAGACUUUUUUUAACCCCGUAUGGCCGCCUGAGAGCUUUCGCUUUUCGCCGGGCUUGAGAGCUUGUGCUGCUUUUAUCCUUCCUUGGAUGUCUGAGACCUUUUAUUAUACCUUUAUAAUUGUUUCACAUUUUAAAUAUAAUUUGUGAUUGAAAUCCAGUUAUAUUCGGUGAAAAGGAGUUUUUAAAUUGAUGUAAAUGUGUUGAUGAUGACAAAUUCAAAGGCUUGUUUCUCAAAAACAUUCGCAGUGGCCGCCUAAGAGCUUUCGCCUUCGCCAGGCUCGAGAGAUUGUGCUGCUUUAUUCCUUGGAUGGAUGUCUGAAACUUAUAAAAUUUACUUGAUGGUUCUCAAAUGUAAUUGGAUGCCCGAUUUAUAUAAGAUAACCUGAUUUGAGUGAUACGUGUUUAAUUCCUUUUGUUUACUUGUAUAUGAUGAAGAGAGAUGGGAAUUCAGCUAAAUCUACUCCGUUAGAUGGGAAGUGGUUUAUAGAAUAAAAGAAUUUCAUUCCUAAAUGUUGCUUAGUCAUCUGGAAUUUGAUUCUAAUAAUAAUAUUAUUUUAUUUUCGAUUGAUAUAA
This is a long non-coding RNA of Gossypium raimondii (Peruvian cotton), 880 nucleotides long. RefSeq lists it as uncharacterized. NCBI's taxonomy places the organism in Eukaryota, Viridiplantae, Streptophyta, Magnoliopsida, Malvales, Malvaceae. The record is from RefSeq and is a predicted model, not a curated record. The transcript has 2 exons.